UGGGGAAUAUUGGACAAUGGGGGCAACCCUGAUCCAGCGAUGCCGCGUGUGUGAAGAAGGCCUGCGGGUUGUAAAGCACUUUAGUAGGGGAGGAAAGGUUUUUAGGUUAAUACCCUGAGACGAUGACGUUACCCCAAGAAUAAGCACCGGCAAACUCUGUGCCAGCAGCCGCGGUAAUACAGAGGGUGCAAGCGUUAAUCGGAAUCACUGGGCGUAAAGGGUGCGUAGGCGGUCAGAUGUGUUAGGUGUGAAAGCCUGGGGCUUAACCCAGGAACUGCGUUUGAUACUGCCAUGCUUGAGUUCGGUAGAGGGUAGUGGAAUUCCCGGUGUAGAGGUGAAAUUCGUAGAUAUCGGGAGGAACACCAGUGGCGAAAGCGGCUACCUGGACCGACACUGACGCUAAGGCGCGAAAGCGUGGGGAGCAAACAGGAUUAGAUACCCCAGUAGUCCCUGAGCGGGCUGGCAAGGCGCAU
RNAcentral lists this ribosomal RNA (473 nucleotides) under uncultured bacterium. RNAcentral describes it as "bacterial SSU rRNA". It matches the Rfam family "Bacterial small subunit ribosomal RNA", at positions 355 to 825 of the family's 1533-position model. The record is from RNAcentral.